CGUGAUUCAUGCACAGAAACGUUUGAAAACCACAGAUCUGGGUAUUUCAAGCUCUAGUCUUGUGGCAGAUUCAAUUUUCUUAAAACAAAAACAAAAAAAAGUGUCCAUAUGUUUGGGAUGAUGUUGGAGGGUUGGUUAUUAGGAUCAGAGCACUCUGUUACCCAAAACAGACAUACAUGUUGGAAACGCAGCGGCAUCUGAAGGCAGGAGCGCAGGUGAUGCCAAUUCUGGUCUUCCAUUCUGAAGGCACCAAGUUUCACCCAGUGGUGGCCCUGGCCCCUGGAGACCAAUUCCAACACAGUCCUGAUGAGUAGUACCCCAGGAUGCCACUUUAUUAAUUUAGAGAGAAAAAGGAAACUGGCCAUGUAUGUGUCUUUAGACUUGAUCAAAGCACUCUCUGCAGUGCAGUCAAGCUAUACCUGGAGACAAUUCAUAACAAACCCAUUUUAUUGAUUUGCCCUGUAAAACACUGUCCCGUAGACUGCCAGUAGCAGGAAUCCACUGGGGUCUUGCCUUCUUGACCAGUAGACAGACGUCAGGGGACUCGGAACACUGCCAGGCAAAGAUGGAGAGAUCGGCAGAGCACAC
Molecule: non-coding RNA, 588 nt
Organism: Vicugna pacos (alpaca)
Lineage: Eukaryota; Metazoa; Chordata; Mammalia; Artiodactyla; Camelidae
Source: RefSeq, a predicted model, not a curated record